RNAcentral lists this transfer RNA (77 nucleotides) under Candidatus Cloacimonetes bacterium HGW-Cloacimonetes-3. Its description in RNAcentral is "tRNA-Thr". It matches the Rfam family "tRNA". Rfam says of the family: Transfer RNA (tRNA) molecules are approximately 80 nucleotides in length. Their secondary structure includes four short double-helical elements and three loops (D, anti-codon, and T loops). The record is from RNAcentral. RNAcentral also lists the same sequence under 3 other names. Lineage: Bacteria; Pseudomonadati; Candidatus Cloacimonadota.
GCUAAAUUAGCUCAGUCCGGUAGAGCAACUGAUUCGUAAUCAGUAGGUCGGGGGUUCGAAUCCCCCAUUUAGCUCCA